CGGAGAAACCUAAAGUGCCCGAGAAGCCCAAAGUGCCUGAGAAGCCUAAAGAACCAGAAAAGCCCAAGCAGCCGGAGAAACCCAAAGAGCCCGAGAAGCCUAAGGAGCCUGAGAAGCCAAAAGAACCGGAAAAACCAAAGGAACCUACGAAACCCAAGGAACCCGAGAAGCCCAAAGAGCCUGAAAAGCCCAAGGAACCCGAGAAGCCCAAACAACCUGAAAAGCCCAAAGAACCUGAGAAGCCCAAGGAAGCUCCUAAACCCGCACCGGUAGCUCCACCACCACAACCACCACCACCGUAUGCUCCAGAGCCAGUG
This 317-nucleotide long non-coding RNA is filed under the name Nicotiana tabacum (common tobacco). RNAcentral's name for it is "long non-coding RNA (NTAB_LNC000585)". Lineage: Eukaryota; Viridiplantae; Streptophyta; Magnoliopsida; Solanales; Solanaceae. The record is from RNAcentral.